AGUAACGCGUGGGUAACCUGCCUUAUACAGGGGGAUAACAGUCAGAAAUGGCUGCUAAUACCGCAUAAGCGCACAGAGCUGCAUGGCUCAGUGUGAAAAACUCCGGUGGUAUAAGAUGGACCCGCGUUGGAUUAGCUAGUUGGUGGGUAACGGCCCACCAAGGCGACGAUCCAUAGCCGGCCUGAGAGGGUGAACGGCCACAUUGGGACUGAGACACGGCCCAG
This 224-nucleotide ribosomal RNA is filed under the name uncultured bacterium. RNAcentral's name for it is "partial 16S ribosomal RNA". It matches the Rfam family "Bacterial small subunit ribosomal RNA", at positions 109 to 334 of the family's 1533-position model. The record is from RNAcentral.